UAAUUCCGCGGUCACACUGUCACACGCUAAAAACAACUUCGCGGAUCGCCGUCCGAUUUUAAUUGGGAAAUAAAUGAAUUAAUCACCAUUAAUGUUGGUAAUGUAGAAAAACGGAAAUGUUACUAAUAACAGCCACACGCAAACGCGCUAGAAUGUGCGGUUGAACCACUGUGAUCCGUGGCAGCGACACGCAGCACUGCGGCGGCGGCGAAAAGUCUAACAGAAAAAGAAGAGAAAAACGAAGAAAAGAAAAAAUUAAACAAGUUUUCGUGAUGCGGUGGCCGUUGGAAAUUUGCGUUUAAAGGAGAUAGCUACAUCUGCGCCCAGCCCAGCCGUAAGCAAAAGUGCAAUCAAACAAUAUAACAAAAAUGAUAAACAAAAUCCGAUAUGGAGUCGAUUUUAAAGCAGUAAUUGUGUCGUGAGUGUGAGUGAGAGUGAUGAGUGUGUGUGCGUGUUGUGAGUGCGUUUUGUGUCUGUGCUGUACUGUGUGUAAAUGAAGUGUUGAAGUGGCGGCAGAGGCAGCAGCGGCUGCAGUGUGUUGGCCAAGCCCAAAACGAACGAAAAUUAAGCCAAACGCAAAUUAAAUAUAUAUGAAAAAAGUUAUAAACAUAAGUGUAAGCCAAGCAGCAUACCAGGCACCCGCACCAGCACAUUGAAACAGCAGCAGGAGCAGCAACAUCACAGCACACGCACAGGGAGCGGCAUCUUUUUUGGUGGCUGAAGGCGGAGACGGACGACGGACGGGGCGCAAUGACCGAGGAAUUGAAAGUGGUGCUGCGGCGCAGCGAACAGCAUUCCGGUUUCGGAUUUUCGCUGCUUGGAUCAACUGGACCGCCACAUGUCAUCUACGACAUUGUGGAGAAUUCGCCGGCAGCCGAUUGCGGAUCGGUUGAAGCCGGGGAUGUCAUCCUCAAAGUCAACGGAACCGAUGUCCAUCGCUAUACAACGAAGGAAGUUCUCAAAUGCCUGCGUCUGUCGGAACAGUUGGUGACCUUGGAGCUGAAGCGAGAUCCCAAGCUUAAGGCACGCAUUAAAGAGCAGCUGGCCAACACACAGAGUCCACACUAUGUAGAUAUUGAAUCUCCCAACAUCUACGACUACAACAGCAGCCACAGCGCUAAUUCCUCGCCCAACCAUCGUCCGAACAACAGCAAGGGAUCUUCUCCAGCAGCCAGCGGACUGCGCUUCAAGUCGCCCACACACUUGCCAUCGCUGCGGCAGAACUCCUCGCCGCUGCUGGCCAGUGGAUCCACCACAACGACCACCCACACACACAGCCGCAACUCUUCGGCCAGCUCCACCAAGAUAAAAGUGGUGGAGACCACCGUUCAGACGACAUCAACCAUCACCACUAGUGCAGCACCAACAUCGCCUACGGGCUCGGACGCCACCUCGCCGACGCACCGACCCUCACGCAUUCCACAGGCGCGAAAGUGCCCAGCGCCCAAGCCCGUGCCCGUGCUGCAUUCGCCACAGAACAAGCGGCCACGAUCCUCCCAGAUACCCACAAAGGCAUCGAACGGUAACGGCAACGGGAACGGUAACGGAAGUGCACACAACUCCCAGCUGCCACCGCAAUCGUUGCAGCACUCGAACAGCUACAGCGGCAGUCCCGUCGCCCGGCCGCGAAUCUCUACGGAGCGAGAGCCGAACACAGACAGGGAGCCAGAACCGAACUCGGCGCCACCGCAGCCGGCGAAGGCGCCACGCUUUGAGGCUUACAUGAUGACGGGUGAUUUGAUCUUGAAUCUGUCCAGGACACCACAGACCAGCAAUCACCUAACGACCCAGGCCAAGAAAGUUGACAGUCUGAGGGAUUCGCCGAUUCGUCUGCCCAAUUCCCGGAUCAAUGGCGCCCUAGCGCCACGAGCAUCGGGCGAAUCAUCGCCCACAUCCUCUUCCUCGGUGGACUCACCCACCAACACCAGCUCGGAUUCGGUGAAGCGUGAGGCGAAGCUGCAACGCAAACAGCUGCCGCAGCAGCAGCACCAGCAGCAGCAGCGGGACAGCAUCAACAACAGCUACAACCGCAAGGAUUCGCUCACAAAUGACACGCUGUUGAUGUGCGAGGAGCUGGAGCGGGAUGAGGAGGGUGAAUAUGUCCUGGAGGAGGACAGCAAGCACCAGCGACAACGUCAACAACAGCAGCGCUAUCGCCAGCAGCAGCAACAGCAACGAUACGAGUACUACCAGAACGAGGAUGAGCUGGACGAGGAGCAGGAGCAGGAGGUGGAAGCAGAGGCGGAGGAGGAGCGCGAGGAGGAUCAGACCCACUACGACAUCACCAACAUAGAGACGUACCAGAGCGGGAUGGGACGCGGCGAUGAGGAUGACAGCGAUCGGCAGUGUCUGGUCGAGGACGACGAUGAUGAUGAUGAUGCCUACGACGAGGAAGAUAACGAUGCCGGUGACGAGGAUUACUCGACAAAUUCGCUGGGCUCCGGCUCUACGAAGCAGCGACUGCGUGCCCUCAAGCAGCGUGCGGCAACGCGACAGCAGCAGCUGCGCAAUCGAGAUGCUGUCGAUUGUGCGGCUCGUAUGCCCGGCUACUCUGCCUCGGGCUCCACCUCGUCCGCAACGGUAAAGAGCGAGGCGGGCGGCGGCAUGCCAAUGGGCGUUGGCCUGGGCGCAGCCAAUACCUCGCAGGACGAGACCUCCUUCUCAGUGCCAACAUCACCCAUUUCACUGUCGACGCCUCUGAUCGACAAGGAGACGGCCAAUUCGGUGCCCACCAGCCCGGAGCCGAGCUCUUUGGCCCCAGAGUCGAGUAGCGGGGCCGCUGGUGUCGUUGUUGUGCGACGCCAUCACAAUGGGCAUGUGGUGCGCAAAUGUGAUGCCGCCGGCUUCCGCACCAGCAAGUCCGAGGAUCAUCUGCAGCAGAUCCAGCGCGAGGGCAUUGCGGCUGUGAUACCCAUCGACAUUGAUGAGGAUGUGAAUAGUUCACUCAAUACGCUGCUGGACACGCGUCAGGACUCCGAGGACUCGCAGUCGACGGCCACCACUGUCUCGUCGGUGGCGACCAUUGUCCACAACUCGUCGGCGUUGAACAACAACGAGAACGAGAAUGAAAUUGAAAGUGAACCGCUUAAUAGCUGCAACAACAACAGUCCCACAACUACACCAGCAAUAGGGAACAACAAUAGCAGCGAGAGCACCGAGGCCGAGAUCGAGAGCGAGUGCGAAAGCAGUAUGGCAACAGCAACUGUAACGAUAGAAACGACUGCAGCGAGAACUAACAAGAAGAUGAUCAGCGGCGGAAACUGCAGCAACAAAUUAAACUAUAUCCUAUGCAAAAAGGCAUCGGAUCGAGAUCGGAUUGUGUGGACCUAUAAUGCACCACUGCAGCCACAUCAGUUGCAGCAGAUCCAACAGCAGCAGGCGCAGCAACAGCUCCAGCAACAGCAGCAGCAACAGUUAAUAUUUCAACAGCAGCAGCAGCAGCAACAUCAUCAGCAACAACAGCAGCAACUCUACGGUCAGCAAUCGCAUUCAAAUUCACAUUCAAGUUCCAUUAGUUCGUCGCCGCAGCAUUCGGCUGCAGGCAGUCCGGCCUCCCCCACAUCGGUGUCCUCGUCGGUGAUGUCCUCAUCGGGAUCGAAGGGUGCCCUAGGUGGCAAUGGUCAGGCAGUGGACCAACAGCAGCAGCAUCGAGAAAAUGGCGGACAAGCCUUCUUGCAGCCGCCCACUGGCAUGCCCUGUCUGCUAACCUGUCCAGGGGCUGGCAAUGGUGCUGGCGGCGGUGGUGGUGGUGCUAGUGGUUGUGGCAACGAUUUGAGCGUCUCAGAGGCCAUUUCGAAUAUAUCUAGUCCCGACUACCAAGACGACGAUAACUUAUUGAGUUCUCGCGAUAUUCUAGGCGGCAUGGUACUUAGCGAUCCCAGUGACUCGGACUCCACCAUACUCGUCUCGGAUGGGGCCGCCCUGCAGCGCCAGCAGCUCAAACAGCAGCUGCGUGCCCAGCAGCAGCAGACUCGGGAAAGGGACAGAGAUCAGUCGGAGCACAAGGUGGUCAUCCAAGUGCGAGGAAUGGACAACAACGGCGGUGGCAGUGCGGCUCGGUCCGAUGACGAUGUGGUCACGCUGGCGGAUGAGCAGCCGCAUACAACGAUGUCGUCGGGUGCGGGGGCAGGGGCGCACGGUGUGCGAGACGCGUCCCCACCCGUUUCCGAUGAUGGCAGCGAUGUGGAAUCGCUGCACUCCUACCAUUACUCGCCCAAGGCUGUAGACAUGCCCUCGGCCAUACGCCUGGCCAAAAGACUGUAUUCUCUCGAUGGUUUCAAGAAAAGCGACGUCUCCCGACACCUCAGCAAGAACAACGACUUUAGCAGGGCGGUCGCCGAUGAGUAUCUAAAGCAUUUCACUUUCGAGAAAAAGUCGUUGGAUCAGUCACUGCGCGAGUUCCUGCAACAGUUCUCGCUGUCCGGCGAGACCCAGGAGCGAGAGCGGGUCCUAGUGCACUUCUCGAAGCGUUUUCUGGACUGCAAUCCGGGUACAUUCAACUCUCAGGAUGCGGUGCACACACUGACCUGUGCCAUUAUGCUGCUGAACACGGAUCUGCAUGGCCAGAAUAUGAAUCGCAAGAUGAGCUGUGCGGAAUUUGUCGACAAUCUGGCAGAUCUCAACGAUGGCGAGAACUUUCCCAAGGAUAUACUCAAGUUAUUGUAUCAGGCCAUCAAAACGAAGCCGCUGGAAUGGGCUCUAGAUGACGAUGCGGGUGAUCUGCAGCAGCGCACUGCCAACAAUGCACUGGGAAAUGUUGGACAGAAUCCCUUCCUGGAUGCACCCGAACUGGCCACCGCGGUGGAGUACAAGAAGGGCUAUGUGAUGCGCAAAUGCUGCUACGAUAGCAGCUACAAAAAGACUCCCUUUGGUAAACGCUCCUGGAAGAUGUUCUACUGCACGCUGCGUGAUCUUGUACUAUAUUUGCAUAAGGAUGAGCAUGGUUUUCGUAAGAGUCAAAUGUCCGACAAUCUGCACAAUGCAAUACGAAUACAUCACGCCCUGGCCACCAAGGCCAAUGAUUACACCAAGAAGCAACAUGUGUUCCGUCUGCAGACGUCCGAUCAGGCCGAGUAUCUCUUCCAGACAAGCGACUCCAAGGAGCUCCACUCGUGGGUCGAAACGAUCAACUAUGUGUGCGCGGCCAUUUCGGCGCCACCACUGGAGGGCGGUGUGGGCAGCCAGAAGCGAUUCCAGCGACCACUCUUGCCCAGCAAGCAGACCAAACUAUUGGUGAAGGAGCAGUUGGAGUCGCACGAGGUGCAGCUGGCGCAGCUAGAGCAGGAGCUCAACGAGCACAAGAAGGGCCCGAUACCCAGCAAAGGAUUGCCACUGCAGAACUACAAGGAAAAGGAGAGCUAUUUGCAAUAUGAACUUCGUCGUUACCGCACGUAUGUGAGCAUACUCAGCGCCAAAAUGCUGGCCGAUCAGCAGCAAUUGGAGCUGCAGGCGCAGCAGCCGGCGCAGGCAAUCCUUGACGAAGAAGCUGACACAUUCCCUGUGGGCACCAGCUGCACGCCCACCACUACGCCAAGUAUUAACAUUCAGGAGCAACAGCAGAAGGAGCAACGGCAGCAACAGUCAUCGAACAGAUGGCUCGAUGUCUUCUGCUGCUGUAGCGUGCUCUGGCGGCAUUUCUACCAUUCCAAAAGCCUUUAAACGAGUAGUUGCCUCUUGCCUGGAGGCUAGCGAUCCGCGGACAGCAGUCCAACGAAGGUGCUUCUCUCUGAAAAUGACCCGAUCAGUACUCCUCCUACUAGCUAAAACCCGUCUUGAAUGUGAGCAAGCUAUAGGCUACAAAUAUCUCAAUGUUUUAUUGCUUACUCGUCAGUGUCUAGUUUGGCUCCACAUCUGUAUAUCGAACAUUUCAGAACAUUCUUUGUUUGUUGAUUGUUAAUUUUGGUUUUCAUUCUACACUUGCAGAAAGGAGAAGAAAUUCGCUUAAUUACUUUUCGUUUCGCUCUUGAUUUCGAUCAUAUCAACACUGCAAAACAAAAGACAAACACCACAUACACAUCCGUAUCCGCCUCUAGUUGGCAGUUGAGAUGAAGCAGUGAUGCAAUACCCAUGAAUAUAGAAUACUCCGAAUAUGCCAAGCUGCCACACUACACCACACCGCACCACACACUCGCAUAAUCAGCACUCAUGCAGCAGGGAGCGGGAGCGGUAUAGAGAGGCUCCAACCACACACCCACCCACCCAAUCACACACACACACACUCACGGGUUCCGGCUGUGCCGUGCCGUGCCGUGCGGCACCCACUCAACAAAAAAAAAAAACAAAAAUCUGCCAAUACAUAUAUCCUACUUUACCGAUCGAAUGAUUCCAAGUGCCGGAUCUUAAGGCUAAGCGGAAGAUCACAUUGAGAUGAUUAAGACUACAAAUACGAACCCAAUUUGUAAUCGAAUUUGUUAACUGUAUGAGAUGGUUUUAUGUACUAUGUAAUCUGAAUGGUCGUUCAACAGAGAUAUUGGCAUUUAGCAAUUCGAUUUGGAUUCGUUUGGCCAAAGAUUCUGCUGAACGAUCGUUUAUGAACGUGAGAGCGAAUCGCUUUACACAUAGAUUAUAAUUACGAGAAUUGAUAUACAAUACUUACAUCAUUACCUAUGCUAUCAUUAUAAAUGAUAAAAAUAAAUUAUAAAUUAUUGAACAAUUUCGCUACACACACACCACACACAUUACACCACACACACGCACCACACACGAAAACAACUGAAGAAAAGUAACAAUAAAGCGAUGAGAGAGGAUAAGAGGAGCACAUUUAGCUAUCAUUGUCAUAAACAAUUUCGUACAUAUAUCAUACAUAAUCGUACAUAGCACACAUAUGCUUCUCAUAUAUGUAUGACUCGUUCAUUGGCCUUUUUGCGAUACAAUUAUCCUCCUAUUUGAUCUGUGUAGGAAACAAAGCAAAACACAACUUACUCCAAUAUUAUGAGCGGAUGAGUAAUAUUUAUUUGAGCAAUUAUUGGUUGAUUACGCCACAUGUCCAUGUAGCUAGAAUAUGAAAUUUGAUAUUUGAUGGGGAAACAAUAAAUCUAAACAAAAACAAAAGCAUACAUAUUAUAUAGUAUAUAUAUUUUUGAAUAUAUUAUUACGAGUAAAUUUAAUUGUAUUGUGUAAUUAUGUAAAUGCAAACUGUAUAACAUUGUUUAUAAUAAUUUUUAACAAUUCUAAUGAAAAGGCAAUAAAUUCGAAAAUACCAACUAACUGAAGCGAACGAAUGCUCGCCCGCUAAGCCAAGUGCCGCCUAAAUGUAUGCAUAUUGUAUAUUAAUUUAGUUACAACAUUUUAAACGGCUCGGCGAGGGCACCCCUCACACUCACUCACUCACUCAAACACUUAGUUUUAAAGCAAUACGAGUACUAUCCACGUACCCCCAAUCCCUUUGAACUCCAAAAAACAUACAUACACACUCACACACACACGAGCAUUCUCAUCUAAGAACUUCAGAACAUAUUACGAA
This is an RNA transcript of Drosophila guanche, 7462 nucleotides long. RefSeq lists it as uncharacterized. The record is from RefSeq and is a predicted model, not a curated record. The transcript is spliced from 15 exons. NCBI's taxonomy places the organism in Eukaryota, Metazoa, Arthropoda, Insecta, Diptera, Drosophilidae.